GAUGAAGAACGCAGCGAAAUGCGAUAAGUAAUGUGAAUUGCAGAAUUCAGUGAAUCAUCGAAUCUUUGAACGCACAUUGCGCCCGCCAGCACACUGGCGGGCAUGCCUGUUCGAGCGUCAUUUCAACCAUCAAGCCCCCAGGGGCUUGUGUUGGGGCCCUGCGGCUGCCCGCAGGCCCUGAAAACCAGUGGCGGGCUCGCUAGUCACACCGAGCGCAGUAGCACAUCUCGCUCAGGGCGUGCGGCGGGCUCCUGCCGUGAAACCCCCCACUGUAACCCCAAAGGUUGACCUCGGAUCAGGUAGGAAUACCCGCUGAACUUAAGCAUAUCAAUAAGCGGAGGA
This 342-nucleotide unclassified non-coding RNA is filed under the name soil metagenome. RNAcentral describes it as "partial contains 5.8S ribosomal RNA, internal transcribed spacer 2, and large subunit ribosomal RNA". The stretch from base 1 to 120 matches the Rfam family "5.8S ribosomal RNA", at positions 35 to 154 of the family's 154-position model. The record is from RNAcentral.